ACGGGUGAGUAACACGUGAGUAACCUGCCCCAGACUCUGGGAUAAGCCUUGGAAACGAGGUCUAAUACCGGAUACGCAACUCCAUCGCAUGGUGAGGGUUGGGAAAGUUUUUCGGUCUGGGAUGGACUCGCGGCCUAUCAGCUUGUUGGUGAGGUAAUGGCUCACCAAGGCGACGACGGGUAGCCGGCCUGAGAGGGCGACCGGCCACACUGGAACUGAGACACGGUCCAGACUCCUACGGGAGGCAGCAGUGGGGAAUAUUGCACAAUGGGCGCAAGCCUGAUGCAGCGACGCCGCGUGGGGGAUGAAGGCCUUCGGGUUGUAAACCCCUUUCAGCAGGGAAGAAGCGAAAGUGACGUUACCUGCAGAAGAAGCGCCGGCUAACUACGUGCCAGCAGCCGCGGUAAUACGUAGGGCGCAAGCGUUGUCCGGAAUUAUUGGGCGUAAAGAGCUCGUAGGCGGUUCGUCGCGUCUGCUGUGAAAGCCCGAGGCUCAACCUCGGGUCUGCAGUGGGUACGGGCGGACUAGAGUGUGGUAGGGGAGACUGGAAUUCCUGGUGUAGCGGUGGAAUGCGCAGAUAUCAGGAGGAACACCAAUGGCGAAGGCAGGUCUCUGGGCCACAACUGACGCUGAGGAGCGAAAGCGUGGGGAGCGAACAGGAUUAGAUACCCUGGUAGUCCACGCCGUAAACGGUGGGCACUAGAUGUGGGGCUCUUUCCAUGAGUUCCGCGUCGCAGCUAACGCAUUAAGUGCCCCGCCUGGGGAGUACGGCCGCAAGGCUAAAACUCAAAGGAAUUGACGGGGGCCCGCACAAGCGGCGGAGCAUGCGGAUUAAUUCGAUGCAACGCGAAGAACCUUACCAAGGCUUGACAU
RNAcentral lists this ribosomal RNA (873 nucleotides) under Demequina sp. RNAcentral describes it as "bacterial SSU rRNA". It matches the Rfam family "Bacterial small subunit ribosomal RNA", at positions 102 to 987 of the family's 1533-position model. The record is from RNAcentral. Lineage: Bacteria; Bacillati; Actinomycetota; Actinomycetes; Micrococcales; Demequinaceae.